This is a long non-coding RNA of Lutra lutra (Eurasian river otter), 723 nucleotides long. RefSeq lists it as uncharacterized. The record is from RefSeq and is a predicted model, not a curated record. The transcript has 3 exons. NCBI's taxonomy places the organism in Eukaryota, Metazoa, Chordata, Mammalia, Carnivora, Mustelidae.
GACUGCUUUAGAGCUCAGUGAUGGGAUUUCUGUCCUCCUCCAGGACGAUAAAGGAAAAAAGGCAAAUGAACCGAAGGAAGUUCGCCAUUCUCAACGGAUAGGCAGAAAGGAAAUCAAGUUUCAUUUGCCUAGGAAGUACAACUGGCAAGGCCAGAGCCUUUGCUGUGACCCUACUUCCAGCCCUAGACCAUGAGGACAGCAUGAACCUUCAGACAGUAUCUGAUGUGAAUAGACCUGGACCUGGACUGAGCCCAAGUGAGUGGAUACCAGGAGAACAAAAACUGAUCUAAAGUCCUCAUGCUCCACAAGUAAGAAAUGAGAUGUGUUGUUUAAGCCAAUGAAAUUUUGAGUUUCUGCGUUGUGUACCUUGGGCUAGUGAAACCUAACGUACAGCCUAUGGAGAUCUAGCAGGUAAAAAUAAGUAAGAUUUGGAAGGUUGUUGGUAACAGAGUAAAAAUGGUAGAUCUUCAUGGAUACGGCAAUUUACUAAAAAUAGAAUACACAUUUUUUCUCUGUGUUUUCUCACUUACCAAAGUUAACCGUAUACUGGGCCACAAAGAAAAUGUUAAUAAAUCUCCCAAAGUAGAAAUCGUAUAGAUAACACUCUUUGGCCAGACUAUAAUUGCAUGAUGAAUGGCUAGUCCGUAGAAAACCUCCUCUCCCAAAAGCCAAAAAUUAAAUUAUCUUUUUGAAAUAAUUUAAAAGUAGAAAUCAAAACUACAA